GGCCUAAAUUGCCAAGAUUCCACCUGAAAAACCAACUUCAGUGAGCAGCCUCACCCGAAAUGGUAGGGUCAACUCUCUAAGCAUGGGUGCCACUUCAGGUUUUUAAGUGAGGCUGCUCACUGAAGUCUUAGUAAUUUUGGCCAUCAUGACUCCUUUUAGACAACAUAGUUAUUAAAGGUGCAAGGCACAGUAGUAAGGCAUGAAGAAAUCCUGAGUCCUAAGCACAAGGGGCGCACAUUUGAGAGGAAGGCACAAAAGCAAUAAAAUUAGC
Molecule: unclassified non-coding RNA, 271 nt
Filed under: Hevea brasiliensis (rubber tree)
Lineage: Eukaryota; Viridiplantae; Streptophyta; Magnoliopsida; Malpighiales; Euphorbiaceae
Source: RNAcentral